AAUAAGCAGCUGUGGCUGUUCUGCUGGACUUGCUGAAACCCUCCCCUAAAGGGAACUCACGUUCUAACAGAGGCAGCUGGGAACAAGGAGCAGGAGUUUUCCUUGACUGAACUUUGUGUGUGGUGAGACACUGCAGCCUGGGGAGCACCCCCCUGAGCGUGACCUGGGACCCCACCUUCCAGAUCCAGGUGACCAUUGAGCCGGGACAAGAGGGCGGCCAGCCCCCCGGAGAACGUGUGUGUGGUGAGACACAUUAAGCCUGGGGAGCAUCCACUGAGGGUGACCUGAGAUUCCCAGCCCACAGACCAGGGUGCUACCAUGGCGAUCGUAGUUGGCGGCCUCAUUGGCUCAGGAGUUGGGGCUCUCAUCGGCACGGGAAUUGGGGCUCUCAUCUCAUACUUCAGGGACGAGCCA
Molecule: non-coding RNA, 414 nt
Organism: Pelodiscus sinensis (Chinese soft-shelled turtle)
Lineage: Eukaryota; Metazoa; Chordata; Testudines; Trionychidae
Source: RefSeq, a predicted model, not a curated record